Molecule: ribosomal RNA, 686 nt
Filed under: uncultured bacterium
Lineage: Bacteria
Description: bacterial SSU rRNA
Rfam family: Bacterial small subunit ribosomal RNA
Source: RNAcentral
CGAACGCGUCUCCGUUAAUGGAUUUUAGGUGCUUGCAUUUGAAAGAUUUACCAUUGAGACGAGUGGCGAACUGGUGAGUAACACGUGGGUAACCUGCCCUUGAAGUAGGGGAUAACACUUGGAAACAGGUGCUAAUACCGUAUAACAACCAAAACCACCUGGUUUUGGUUUAAAAGACGGCUUCGGCUGUCACUUUAGGAUGGACCCGCGGCGUAUUAGCUUGUUGGUAAGGUAACGGCCUACCAAGGCGAUGAUACGUAGCCGACCUGAGAGGGUAAUCGGCCACAUUGGGACUGAGACACGGCCCAAACUCCUACGGGAGGCAGCAGUAGGGAAUCUUCCACAAUGGACGAAAGUCUGAUGGAGCAACGCCGCGUGAGUGAUGAAGGGUUUCGGCUCGUAAAACUCUGUUGUUGGAGAAGAACAGGUGUCAGAGUAACUGUUGACAUCUUGACGGUAUCCAACCAGAAAGCCACGGCUAACUACGUGCCAGCAGCCGCGGUAAUACGUAGGUGGCAAGCGUUGUCCGGAUUUAUUGGGCGUAAAGCGAGCGCAGGCGGUUUUUUAGGUCUGAUGUGAAAGCCUUCGGCUUAACCGGAGAAGUGCAUCGGAAACCGGGAGACUUGAGUGCAGAAGAGGACAGUGGAACUCCAUGUGUAGCGGUGAAAUGCGUAGAUAUAUGGAAG